AUUGAACGCUGGCGGCAGGCUUAACACAUGCAAGUCGAGCGGGGUGAUGGUGCUUGCACUAUCACUUAGCGGCGGACGGGUGAGUAAUGCUUAGGAAUCUGCCUAUUAGUGGGGGACAACAUCUCGAAAGGGAUGCUAAUACCGCAUACGUCCUACGGGAGAAAGCAGGGGAUCACUUGUGACCUUGCGCUAAUAGAUGAGCCUAAUUCGGAUUAGCUGGUUGGUGGGGUAAAGGCCUACCAAGGCGACGAUCUGUAGCGGGUCUGAGAGGAUGAUCCGCCACACUGGGACUGAGACACGGCCCAGACUCCUACGGGAGGCAGCAGUGGGGAAUAUUGGACAAUGGGGGGAACCCUGAUCCAGCCAUGCCGCGUGUGUGAAGAAGGCCUUAUGGUUGUAAAGCACUUUAAGCGAGGAGGAGGCUCUUUUGGUUAAUACCCAAGAUGAGUGGACGUUACUCGCAGAAUAAGCACCGGCUAACUCUGUGCCAGCCGCCGCGGUAA
Molecule: ribosomal RNA, 503 nt
Filed under: uncultured bacterium
Lineage: Bacteria
Description: partial 16S ribosomal RNA
Rfam family: Bacterial small subunit ribosomal RNA
Source: RNAcentral